CAGUCGCCACGGGAACACGAAGGGUGCAAGCGUUACUCGGAAUUACUGGGCGUAAAGCGUGCGUAGGUGGUGGUUUAAGUCCGUUGUGAAAGCCCUGGGCUCAACCUGGGAAUUGCAGUGGAUACUGGGUCACUAGAGUGUGGUAGAGGAUAGUGGAAUUUCCGGUGUAGCAGUGAAAUGCGUAGAGAUCGGAAGGAACAUCUGUGGCGAAGGCGACUAUCUGGGCCAACACUGACACUGAGGCACGAAAGCGUGGGGAGCAAACAGGAUUAGAUACCCCGGUAGUCCCUGUCUCUUAUUU
RNAcentral lists this ribosomal RNA (301 nucleotides) under uncultured bacterium. RNAcentral's name for it is "partial 16S ribosomal RNA". It matches the Rfam family "Bacterial small subunit ribosomal RNA", at positions 509 to 809 of the family's 1533-position model. The record is from RNAcentral.